CCCUUAGAUGUUCUGGGCCGCACACGCGCUACACUGAAGGAGGCAGCGUGUACUCCUGGAUCGAAAGAUUUGGGUAACCCGCGAAUCUCCUUCGUGCUAGGGAUUGAGGUUUGCAAUUAUCCUUCAUGAACGAUGAAUUCCCAGUAAGUGCAAGUCAUAAGCUUGCGCUGACUACGUCCCUGCCCUUUGUACACACCGCCCGUCGCUACUACCGAUUGAAUGAUUUAGUGAGGACUUCGGACUGGGACCGAUGCGGCUUUCGGGCUGCGUCGGUAUUCUGGAAAGAUGUCCAAACUGUAUCAUUUAGAGGAAGUAAAAGUCGUAACA
Molecule: ribosomal RNA, 327 nt
Filed under: uncultured eukaryote
Lineage: Eukaryota
Description: partial 18S ribosomal RNA
Rfam family: Eukaryotic small subunit ribosomal RNA
Source: RNAcentral